RNAcentral lists this ribosomal RNA (250 nucleotides) under uncultured bacterium. RNAcentral describes it as "partial 16S ribosomal RNA". It matches the Rfam family "Bacterial small subunit ribosomal RNA", at positions 523 to 769 of the family's 1533-position model. The record is from RNAcentral.
AUACGGAAGGUGCAAGCGUUAAUCGGAAUCACUGGGCGUAAAGCGCUCGUAGGUGGCUUUGUAAGUCAGGUGUGAAAGCCCACGGCUCAACCGUGGAAUUGCACUUGAUACUGCAUUGCUUGAGUUCGGGAGAGGGUAGUGGAAUUCCAGGUGUAGGAGUGAAAUCCGUAGAGAUCUGGAGGAACACCAGUGGCGAAGGCGACUACCUGGACCGAUACUGACACUGGAGGAAGCGAAAGGCGUGGGGAAG